GACGAACGCUGGCGGCGUGCCUAAUACAUGCAAGUAGAACGCUGAAGGAGGAGCUUGCUUCUCCGGAUGAGUUGCGAACGGGUGAGUAACGCGUAGGUAACCUGCCUGGUAGCGGGGGAUAACUAUUGGAAACGAUAGCUAAUACCGCAUAACAGUAGAUGUUGCAUGACAUUUGCUUAAAAGGUGCAAUUGCAUCACUACCAGAUGGACCUGCGUUGUAUUAGCUAGUUGGUGAGGUAACGGCUCACCAAGGCGACGAUACAUAGCCGACCUGAGAGGGUGAUCGGCCACACUGGGACUGAGACACGGCCCAGACUCCUACGGGAGGCAGCAGUAGGGAAUCUUCGGCAAUAGACGGAAGUCUGACCGAGCAACGCCGCGUGAGUGAAGAAGGUUUUGGGAUCGUAAAGCUCUGUUGUAAGAGAAGAACGAGUGUGAGAGUGGAAAGUUCACACUGUGACGGUAUCUUACCAGAAAGGGACGGCUAACUACGUG
This 495-nucleotide ribosomal RNA is filed under the name uncultured bacterium. RNAcentral's name for it is "partial 16S ribosomal RNA". It matches the Rfam family "Bacterial small subunit ribosomal RNA", at positions 28 to 507 of the family's 1533-position model. The record is from RNAcentral.